CUUUCUUGGUUCCUUUGAUCACGUUGUUGGCACGUGACCCUUGGUUAGCAGCAAUGAAAUCAGGGUUAUAGAUACCAGGGAGUGGGACCAUAGAUUCCAUGUAGGGCCUCAACUGCUUUUGUAGAUCAAUAUCAAAUACCUUAGCCCUGGCCAUGGCAUCUGCUAAAUUCAUGUCACUGAUGUCCCAUCCUCCAAACACUACGUCAUCUGGGUUGACCUAUUUCAUUUUAAAAUUAACAAAAAGAACUAUCAACAAAUAGAAGAAAUAUAAAAAUAUAUCAAUCAGAACCAAAAUUAAAAAAAAAAAAAAAAAAAAAUUGACUCUCGAAAUAACAAUGCCACAUAAAUUGGGACAGGGACAUAAAAAGUAAAGGUUACCAUGGGAAGGAGGCUCUUAAAUGGAGCAUAGAUCUCCUCUCCGUUGAAAGACCCAACUCGAAUAGCAGAAGCCUGAGUAAGAGAGCCAAAGUAAUUGGCUUGUUGAACCUUAUCUUUGGUGGCCCAUGAAAUUCCUCUGCCAAUAUUCAAGACCAGACCAUAAUAUAAGGAAGAAAUAAUUUCUACAACAUAAAAAUAAAAACAAGAAAAAAACAGUAAAUAAAAUCAUGAAAAUUUACAGAAAAAACAUAAGAGAAGAAACUCACUCUCUAUUUGCAAUAACACCACCGGUCAAGGUUGAACCAUUGUUUCCACCCCAUCCAACAAGCAUAACCCUAUCAAAAAAUUACACAGAAAAAAUGUCACAAAACCAUAGUAACGCAAAAUAAAGAAAACCCCAUUUUUUAAUUUCUCAAAUCUAGGGUAAAUUUUAAAUAUUU
RNAcentral lists this long non-coding RNA (818 nucleotides) under Nicotiana tabacum (common tobacco). Its description in RNAcentral is "long non-coding RNA (NTAB_LNC001290)". Lineage: Eukaryota; Viridiplantae; Streptophyta; Magnoliopsida; Solanales; Solanaceae. The record is from RNAcentral.